Molecule: ribosomal RNA, 460 nt
Filed under: uncultured bacterium
Lineage: Bacteria
Description: partial 16S ribosomal RNA
Rfam family: Bacterial small subunit ribosomal RNA
Source: RNAcentral
CCUACGGGCGGCAGCAGUGAGGAAUAUUUGUCAAUGGACGAGAGUCUGAACCAGCCAAGUAGCGUGAAGGAUGACUGCCCUAUGGGUUGUAAACUUCUUUUAUAAAGGAAUAAAACGAGGCACGUGUGCCUUUUUGCAUGUACUUUAUGAAUAAGGAUCGGCUAACUCCGUGCCAGCAGCCGCGGUAAUACGGAGGAUCCGAGCGUUAUCCGGAUGUAUUGGGUUUAAAGGGAGCGUAGAUGGGUUGUUAAGUCAGUUGUGAAAGUUUGCGGCUCAACCGUAAAAUUGCAAUUGAUACUGGCAGUCUUGAGUACAGUUGAGGUAGGCGGAAUUCGUGGUGUAGCGGUGAAAUGCUUAGAUAUCACGAAGAACCCCGAUUGCGAAGGCAGCUUACUAAACUGUGACUGACAUUGAUGCUCGAAAGUGUGGGUAUCAAACAGGAUUAGAUACCCUGGUAGUC